RNAcentral lists this ribosomal RNA (1361 nucleotides) under uncultured bacterium. RNAcentral describes it as "bacterial SSU rRNA". It matches the Rfam family "Bacterial small subunit ribosomal RNA", at positions 28 to 1381 of the family's 1533-position model. The record is from RNAcentral.
AUUGAACGCUGGCGGCAGGCCUAACACAUGCAAGUCGAGCGGUAGCACAGAGAGCUUGCUCUCGGGUGACGAGCGGCGGACGGGUGAGUAAUGUCUGGGAAACUGCCUGAUGGAGGGGGAUAACUACUGGAAACGGUAGCUAAUACCGCAUAACGUCGCAAGACCAAAGUGGGGGACCUUCGGGCCUCAUGCCAUCAGAUGUGCCCAGAUGGGAUUAGCUAGUAGGUGGGGUAACGGCUCACCUAGGCGACGAUCCCUAGCUGGUCUGAGAGGAUGACCAGCCACACUGGAACUGAGACACGGUCCAGACUCCUACGGGAGGCAGCAGUGGGGAAUGUUGCACAAUGGGCGCAAGCCUGAUGCAGCCAUGCCGCGUGUGUGAAGAAGGCCUUCGGGUUGUAAAGCACUUUCAGCGGGGAGGAAGGCGUUAAGGUUAAUAACCUUGGCGAUUGACGUUACCCGCAGAAGAAGCACCGGCUAACUCCGUGCCAGCAGCCGCGGUAAUACGGAGGGUGCAAGCGUUAAUCGGAAUUACUGGGCGUAAAGCGCACGCAGGCGGUCUGUCAAGUCGGAUGUGAAAUCCCCGGGCUCAACCUGGGAACUGCAUUCGAAACUGGCAGGCUAGAGUCUUGUAGAGGGGGGUAGAAUUCCAGGUGUAGCGGUGAAAUGCGUAGAGAUCUGGAGGAAUACCGGUGGCGAAGGCGGCCCCCUGGACAAAGACUGACGCUCAGGUGCGAAAGCGUGGGGAGCAAACAGGAUUAGAUACCCUGGUAGUCCACGCCGUAAACGAUGUCGAUUUGGAGGUUGUGCCCUUGAGGCGUGGCUUCCGGAGCUAACGCGUUAAAUCGACCGCCUGGGGAGUACGGCCGCAAGGUUAAAACUCAAAUGAAUUGACGGGGGCCCGCACAAGCGGUGGAGCAUGUGGUUUAAUUCGAUGCAACGCGAAGAACCUUACCUGGUCUUGACAUCCACAGAACUUUCCAGAGAUGGAUUGGUGCCUUCGGGAACUGUGAGACAGGUGCUGCAUGGCUGUCGUCAGCUCGUGUUGUGAAAUGUUGGGUUAAGUCCCGCAACGAGCGCAACCCUUAUCCUUUGUUGCCAGCGGUUAGGCCGGGAACUCAAAGGAGACUGCCAGUGAUAAACUGGAGGAAGGUGGGGAUGACGUCAAGUCAUCAUGGCCCUUACGACCAGGGCUACACACGUGCUACAAUGGCAUAUACAAAGAGAAGCGACCUCGCGAGAGCAAGCGGACCUCAUAAAGUAUGUCGUAGUCCGGAUUGGAGUCUGCAACUCGACUCCAUGAAGUCGGAAUCGCUAGUAAUCGUAGAUCAGAAUGCUACGGUGAAUACGUUCCCGGGCCU